UACGGGGGGAGCAAGCGUUGUUCGGAUUCACUGGGCGUAAAGGGUGCGUAGGUGGCGGGGUAAGUCUGAUGUGAAAGCUUCGAGCUCAACUCGAAAAUGGCAUUGGAUACUAUUCUGCUAGAGGGUUGGAGGGGGGACUGGAAUUCUCGGUGUAGCAGUGAAAUGCGUAGAUAUCGAGAGGAACACCGGUGGCGAAGGCGAGUCCCUGGACAACACCUGACACUGAGGCACGAAAGCUAGGGGAGCAAACAGG
Molecule: ribosomal RNA, 253 nt
Filed under: uncultured bacterium
Lineage: Bacteria
Description: partial 16S ribosomal RNA
Rfam family: Bacterial small subunit ribosomal RNA
Source: RNAcentral